This 253-nucleotide ribosomal RNA is filed under the name uncultured bacterium. RNAcentral describes it as "partial 16S ribosomal RNA". It matches the Rfam family "Bacterial small subunit ribosomal RNA", at positions 524 to 776 of the family's 1533-position model. The record is from RNAcentral.
UACGGGGGGGGUAAGCGUUGUUCGGAAUUAUUGGGCGUAAAGGGCUCGUAGGCGGCCAACUAAGUCAGACGUGAAAUCCCUCAGCUUAACUGGGGAACUGCGUCUGAUACUGGAUGGCUUGGAUCCGGGAGAGGGAUGCGGAAUUCCAGGUGUAGCGGUGAAAUGCGCAGAUAUCAGGAGGAACACCGGUGGCGAAGGCGGGUCUCUGGGCAGUAACUGACGCUGAGGAGCGAAAGCGUGGGGAGCGAACAGG